This 497-nucleotide ribosomal RNA is filed under the name uncultured bacterium. RNAcentral's name for it is "partial 16S ribosomal RNA". It matches the Rfam family "Bacterial small subunit ribosomal RNA", at positions 29 to 507 of the family's 1533-position model. The record is from RNAcentral.
UACUAACGCUGGCGGCGUGCCUAAUACAUGCAAGUUGAGCGAUGAAGAUUGGUGCUUGCACCAAUUUGAAGAGCAGCGAACGGGUGAGUAACGCGUGGGGAAUCUGCCUUUGAGCGGGGGACAACAUUUGGAAACGAAUGCUAAUACCGCAUAACAACUUUAAACAUAAGUUUUAAGUUUGAAAGAUGCAAUUGCAUCACUCAAAGAUGAUCCCGCGUUGUAUUAGCUAGUUGGUGAGGUAAAGGCUCACCAAGGCGAUGAUACAUAGCCGACCUGAGAGGGUGAUCGGCCACAGUGGGACUGAGACACGGCCCAAACUCCUACGGGAGGCAGCAGUAGGGAAUCUUCGGCAAUGGACGAAAGUCUGACCGAGCAACGCCGCGUGAGUGAAGAAGGUUUUCGGAUCGUAAAACUCUGUUGGUAGAGAAGAACGUUGGUGAGAGUGGAAAGCUCAUCAAGUGACGGUAACUACCCAGAAAGGGACGGCUAACUACGUG